Anguilla rostrata (American eel) is the source of this 2635-nucleotide long non-coding RNA. RefSeq lists it as uncharacterized. The transcript is spliced from 2 exons. The record is from RefSeq and is a predicted model, not a curated record. NCBI's taxonomy places the organism in Eukaryota, Metazoa, Chordata, Actinopteri, Anguilliformes, Anguillidae.
UAUAAAGCCAAUACGGUGGGCGCAGACAUUAAAUGUUUCUCCGUGUUGCUUUCUCUAUGUAGUUAGAAACCAAAUUAAGUCUUCAGUCCUUUAGCUUGAACAUAAGGACAUUUUAUAUUAAUUUUCGAAAUAUGAAGGAGAAAUUAUCACCGGAAGAGCCGAUGCAAGAACGUCUUGGAACCUCCACGGCGUUUUUUACACGUCCGCUAUAAAAGUACCAUGGGGAAUUCAACUGAAAUACUGAUUUUUCUACAAGGACUGAAUGAGACAGUGUCAAGCAAGCGCACAUACUUUAUCCUCAUUCUUCUUGUUUACAUUUUUACUGUUUUAGCGAACCUGACUGUGAUUGGGACAGUUAUUUUGGAGAAAACGCUGCAUGAGCCCAUGCUUGUAUUCCUGUGUAACUUGUGUAUAAAUGGUAUACUUGGUGCCUCCAUAUUUUAUCCUAAAAUAUUGGCGGACCUUUUAUCUGACUUAAGUGUUACUUCGUAUAAAGCGUGUCUGGGUCAAAUUUUUCUAAUAUACUGCUACGUGUACUGCGAAUAUGGUACGUUAGCAGUGAUGGCUUACGACAGGUAUAUCGCGAUAUGCAAGCCGCUCAAUUACCACUCCAUCAUCACGCCACAGAAGGUGAUUAAAUUACUGUUAUUUACCUGGCUUUCAUCCAUCUGUGAAUCAGUUGUUGUGGUGGGCUUGAUAGCCAGACUGCCCCUCUGUGGAUUCAACAUCGAUAAGCUUUACUGCACUGCCUGGGACGUGGUAAAGCUGUCGUGUGUGGACACCUCUAUCAACAACAUAUGCGGGUACAUUCUCAUGGCUCUUCAACUUUCGCUAGCAUUUAUGGUUGUGAUUUCCUAUUUUUAUAUCAUCAGAGCAUGUGUGCGAUCGCCGAAAGAACGAAGUAAGUUCAUGCAGACCUGUUUGCCCCAUUCAAUCGCUCUGUCCAAUUUCUUAAUCGCACACGGUUUUGACCUCAUGUACACGCGCUAUGGUCCCACCGACCGUCUGCAGGCUCUCCGCAAUGUCAUGUCCCUGGACUACCUCAUUGUUCCACCCAUCCUAAAUCCCCUAGUUUAUGGUCUGAAACUGAACCAAAUCCGCCGGAGGAUCUUUAGAAUGAUAAGUCAGAAAACACAUGCUCUAAAGUGAAUGUUUGUACUUUGUUCAGGCAGGAAAAUCAAUAUCCGCCUACAGAUGUUUUCAUAAAAUGACAACAAUACAAUAAUUAUUCUAAACAGCAGAACUAAAGGAUUCAAAGAUGCCACACAGUUUUAGAUAUUACCGGAAGUAAUAUUAGCCUAUCUUGUUCUAGUGGCCUGCUUUGGUUUACAUUAUGUUUUUUAGUUUCACGCAAAACUUUGCGGGGUAUGGGUUGCGAUGCCUGGUGUAUGAAAACAUGGCCCUUAUAGUACAUUCAGAGCGGGAAAACCCAGACAGAUGCAAACUGGAAUGAGUCACUUUUUUAUCCCGUGUUGAGACUGCUAUUCAUAUUCAAGAGAGUAAAAAAAUGUUGAUUACAUUUUAGGUUACAGUGAUAAAAAUAAUUAUUAAUGUUCCUGUGUUUUUCCAAAAUGAGUCUUUCUCUUAGAUAUUUACAAAAAUAUCAUAAGGCAAUAAAUAUAUAGAACAAUGUUUUAAUGAGGUCUGUUGUUAUUUAACUUUUUGAAUUCUGGUGUUCAGUCGUUGUUGGGGAAACCUAGUCUCUGCUAUCAUUCUUUUCUCUCUAUCCUAUGACGCAUUGUGCAGACAGGUGCAGCCACCUCAAGGCCAGAUGAGGUAAUCAGCGGAAAGUUUUGAUUGAAGAUCACAGUGGAGAGAAGUUAUUGGUGGACACAUUCUAUGAGCGUGCCCAACGUGUGGGGAUUCUGAUUCUUGCCAAUUAAAGAUGGAUGUAUCAGACAGUUCAGGACUGCGUCUUGGACUGCCCUUCAGAAACUCUCCCUGUGUGCAGAUUGGUCAACAAAUGUCACUUGUUGGACCAGCCAUUGCCAUCUCAUCCUUGGGGUUCCUAGACAAAGAAAUGGUAAUGGCAAGCAUAUUUGUUUUUUUCUGUAGCAUUUAUUUUGUUUCACAUAAACUUGUAUCUCGGUGAGUAAAGCAUUUUUGGUUUGCAGUAGUUUCAGAGACUGUUCAAACUAAUAUUUAGGAUUAUAAAUUCUAAUAAAAAUGAUACUUUAACUACAGUGAACAUAAACUGUCAUGGUUCUGCGUUUUCCCGUCUGUUUCCUUGUUAGGCCGCCAGAUGGCGGCACUUCUGUUUUGUGUCCUGUUUAAUCGUAUUAUUGUUUUCAAUUAUCCCAUUAUUGUUUGCUGAGUGUCUCGUUUUCCCUUCUCUCUCUGUGGCCUGAUUGUUCAUUGUGCCCUCCUGUGUCUCGUCUGUGUCUGCCUAUUUAAGUUUCCCGUCUCCUGAACUCAGUGUUGGAUCCUUGCUCGUUGUUGUUGAUUGUGUCUGGUUGUGUUCGGUCGCGCAUGUUCCUGCCUUGUGUAUUCCUGCCCACCUUCUGGUUCCCUUGUGUUUUUGGAUUUUCUGCUUUUUCCUUGUUCCUGUGUUUUUUUUUAAGUUUGUCUGUGUUUUUGAGAGUUGCCCUGCGAGGCCUUUUGUUCCCUUUUUCUAAAGUAAAGUCUUUUGUUCUGA